Molecule: long non-coding RNA, 977 nt
Filed under: Monodelphis domestica (gray short-tailed opossum)
Lineage: Eukaryota; Metazoa; Chordata; Mammalia; Didelphimorphia; Didelphidae
Description: lncRNA (ENSMODG00000038168.1)
Source: RNAcentral
CACUGGUUUUCUUUUAUUAGAACCCCCCCCCCAUACUUAGCACAGAGCUUGUGCUAAGGAUAGCUUAACUAUGCUAGAGAUCAAAAAGGAUUUUUACACGAUUAUGUUGUGUUACAUGCUAAAUGUUAUAUGCUUAAUAUAAUUUUUCUUCUCCUUCCUUUCUUUCCUCUCUCCCUCUCUUCUUUCCUUCCUUUCUCUAUUCUUUCUUUCCUUAUCCCCCUUCUUUGCUUCCUCACUUCCUUCUUCCCUUCCUCCCUUUACCCAUGUUCCUCCUUCCCUUCUCCAUUUCUUCUUCCUUUCUUCCCUUUCAUUCUUCCUUCCUUCCUUUUUUUCUUUCUCUUCCUUCCUUCCUUUUUUCUUUCUCUUCCUUCCUUCCUUUCUUCUUUCUCUUUCUUUCUUUCUUUCUUUCUUUCUUUCUUUCUUUCUUUCUUUCUUUCUUUCUUUCUUUCUUUCUUUCUUUCUUUCUUUCUUUCUUUCUUUCUUUCUUUCUUUCUUUCUUUCUUUCUUUCUUUCUCUCUCUUCCCUCUCUUAGAUGGUAGUGGGGAGGAGGAAUAGGUCAUUGUUUUUAUUAUUGAUAUAAUAUUCUCACAUUAUAGAUAAGGAAACCCAGUCACAGAGAAAUUAAUUGGCUUGCCAAAUAUCACUGAGCUAGCCAGAGACAGAGCUGAGUGCUCAGCCCUUUGUUUGGAGAAUAUUAGCUUAGUACCACUGUUGUGGAGGAUGAGAGAGAAAGUGAAAGAAAGCAGUAAAAAGACCAGUUAGGAGGGAACUGUAAUAGUCCAAGGCAGAGGCAAGUAGGACCUUAAAUAAGGUCACUCUAAUAGGAAUGCAGAGAAAGUGGCAGAUCAGAACAAAGUUAUGGAUGUAGGAUGGCAACUGGAUAUGUCCAAAGCAUAAAUGACAGAGAAUUGAAGAUGAGGCUGAGAUCUUUGUCAUGUGUGGUGCAUAUCUUUAUAGCAGGUCUGGAAAUGAACUGC